CCUACGGGAGGCAGCAGUGGGGAAUAUUGGACAAUGGGGGCAACUCUGACCCAGCAACGCCGCGUGAGUGAUGAAGGUAUUCGGAUUGUAAAGUUCUUUUCUAAGGGAAGAAGAAAGUGACGGUACCUUAGGAAUAAGCCUCGUCUAACUACGUGCCAGCAGCCGCGGUAAUACGUAGGGGGCAAGCGUUAGCCGGAAUGACGGGGAGUAAAGGGUGCGUAGGUGGUUUGACAAGUUAGUAGCGCAACUCCGGGGCUCAACUUCGGAACUACUACUAAAACUGUUGGACUUGAGUGCAGGAGGGGCAAUCGGAAUUCCUAGUGUAGCGGUGGAAUGCGUAGAUAUUAGGAGGAACACCAGUGGCGAAGGCGGAUUGCUAGACUGUAACUGACAUUGAGGCACGAAAGCGUGGGGAGCAAACAGGAUUAGAUACCCUAGUAGUC
This 443-nucleotide ribosomal RNA is filed under the name uncultured bacterium. Its description in RNAcentral is "partial 16S ribosomal RNA". It matches the Rfam family "Bacterial small subunit ribosomal RNA", at positions 338 to 795 of the family's 1533-position model. The record is from RNAcentral.